Molecule: long non-coding RNA, 198 nt
Organism: Lemur catta (Ring-tailed lemur)
Lineage: Eukaryota; Metazoa; Chordata; Mammalia; Primates; Lemuridae
Exons: 3
Source: RefSeq, a predicted model, not a curated record
GUGUAUUCAUACAACAAACCAGGAUCAUUGUAUUCAGAUUCUUCACUUACAAAGGAUUAUUGCUUUUAUCAAGGAUAUGCUGCAGAGGUUUUAAAAUCAGCUGUGAUGUUAAGCAUCUGUUCUGGACUCAGAGGAUUAUUGCACUUUGAAAAUAUCAGUUAUGGAAUUGAACCUUUGGAAUCUACAGCUACAAAUGAG